CGAGGCCGUAGCGCAGAGGUCGACGCACCCGCCUCUCAAGCGGGGGGACGCCGGUUCGAUUCCGGUCGGUCUCGCCC
This 77-nucleotide transfer RNA is filed under the name Actinoplanes auranticolor. RNAcentral's name for it is "tRNA-Glu". It matches the Rfam family "tRNA". Rfam says of the family: Transfer RNA (tRNA) molecules are approximately 80 nucleotides in length. The record is from RNAcentral. Lineage: Bacteria; Bacillati; Actinomycetota; Actinomycetes; Micromonosporales; Micromonosporaceae.